UGGCCCAGAUCGUUUACCGUGAAAAAAUUAGAGUGUUCAAAGCAGGCAGAUCCAAUUUUCUGCCACCGAAUACAUUAGCAUGGGAUAAUGGAAUAGGACCCUGUCCUCCUAUUUUCAGUUGGUUUUGGCAGCGCGAGGACUAGGGUAAUGAUUAAUAGGGAUAGUUGGGGGCAUUAAUAUUUAAUUGUCAGAGGUGAAAUUCUUGGAUUUAUGAAAGAUUAACUUCUGCGAAAGCAUCUGCCAAGGAUGUUUUCAUUAAUCAAGAACGAAAGUUAGGGGAUCGAAGACGAUCAGAUACCGUCGUAGUCUUAACCAUAAACGAUGCCGACCAGCGAUUAGGAGACGUUGAAUACAAAACACCACCAUCGGCGCGGUCGUCCUUGGCGUGUCUCGGCUUCACGGCUGGGGCGCGCGAGGGCGGUUAGCCC
Molecule: ribosomal RNA, 428 nt
Filed under: uncultured Acanthamoeba
Lineage: Eukaryota; Discosea; Longamoebia; Acanthamoebidae
Description: SSU rRNA
Rfam family: Eukaryotic small subunit ribosomal RNA
Source: RNAcentral